This 245-nucleotide ribosomal RNA is filed under the name uncultured Burkholderiales bacterium. Its description in RNAcentral is "partial 16S ribosomal RNA". It matches the Rfam family "Bacterial small subunit ribosomal RNA", at positions 1138 to 1382 of the family's 1533-position model. Lineage: Bacteria; Pseudomonadati; Pseudomonadota; Betaproteobacteria; Burkholderiales. The record is from RNAcentral.
CUCUAAUGAGACUGCCGGUGACAAACCGGAGGAAGGUGGGGAUGACGUCAAGUCCUCAUGGCCCUUAUGGGUAGGGCUUCACACGUCAUACAAUGGUACAUACAGAGCGCCGCCAACCCGCGAGGGGGAGCUAAUCGCAGAAAGUGUAUCGUAGUCCGGAUUGUAGUCUGCAACUCGACUGCAUGAAGUUGGAAUCGCUAGUAAUCGCGGAUCAGCAUGUCGCGGUGAAUACGUUCCCGGGUCUU